GGGGCUGUAGCUCAAUUGGGAGAGCGCAUCCAUGGCAUGGAUGAGGUUGUCGGUUCGAGCCCGAUCAGCUCCA
This 73-nucleotide transfer RNA is filed under the name Planctomycetota bacterium. RNAcentral describes it as "Planctomycetes bacterium (activated sludge metagenome) tRNA-Ala". It matches the Rfam family "tRNA". From Rfam's summary of the family: Transfer RNA (tRNA) molecules are approximately 80 nucleotides in length. Their secondary structure includes four short double-helical elements and three loops (D, anti-codon, and T loops). Further hydrogen bonds mediate the characteristic L-shaped molecular structure. tRNAs have two regions of fundamental functional importance: the anti-codon, which is responsible for specific mRNA codon recognition, and the 3' end, to which the tRNAs corresponding amino acid is attached (by aminoacyl-tRNA synthetases). tRNAs cope with the degeneracy of the genetic code in two manners: having more than one tRNA (with a specific anti-codon) for a particular amino acid; and 'wobble' base-pairing, i.e. permitting non-standard base-pairing at the 3rd anti-codon position. Lineage: Bacteria; Pseudomonadati; Planctomycetota. RNAcentral also lists the same sequence under 1 other name. The record is from RNAcentral.